GACGAACGCUGGCGGCGUGCUUAACACAUGCAAGUCGAACGGAGUGGCAAACGGGUGAGUAACACGUAAACAACCUGCCUUCAGGAUGGGGACAACAGACGGAAACGACUGCUAAUACCGAAUACCUGAAGAGGGGUUUGCGUCUGAUUAGGCAGUUGGUGGGGUAACGGCCCACCAAACCAACGAUGAGUAGACGGGCUGAGAGGAUGAACGGCCACACUGGAACUGAGACACGUUCCAGACUCCUACGGGGGGCAGCAGUGGGGAAUCUUGCGCAAUGGACGAAAGUCUGAUGCAGCCAUGCCGCGUGUGUGAAGAAGGCCUUCGGGUUGUAAAGCACUUUCAGCGGGGAGGCGUUACCCGCAGAAGAAGCACCGGCUAACUCCGUGCCAGCAGCCGCGGUAAUAC
RNAcentral lists this ribosomal RNA (408 nucleotides) under uncultured bacterium. Its description in RNAcentral is "partial 16S ribosomal RNA". It matches the Rfam family "Bacterial small subunit ribosomal RNA", at positions 28 to 526 of the family's 1533-position model. The record is from RNAcentral.